This 210-nucleotide long non-coding RNA is filed under the name Coffea arabica (coffee). RNAcentral describes it as "long non-coding RNA (CARA_LNC006330)". The record is from RNAcentral. Lineage: Eukaryota; Viridiplantae; Streptophyta; Magnoliopsida; Gentianales; Rubiaceae.
CAUGUGACCGGAUGGAUUAUCUCAUGUAUGGUUUGAGUUUUGGAUUUCAUCUUGUGUAAUAGUUGUUAUUAGGGAUUGUAUGAACGUUUGGACUUGAGCGGGUUUGUGAUAUGUAAUUCUUCGAAAGUUUGAUGGAUAUUUGAUUUUUAUAUUGUAAUUUAAUUGAGAACUGUAGUGAACGACUGAGUCCCGGCGAGAGCUGGGCAGGCG